Molecule: ribosomal RNA, 497 nt
Filed under: uncultured bacterium
Lineage: Bacteria
Description: partial 16S ribosomal RNA
Rfam family: Bacterial small subunit ribosomal RNA
Source: RNAcentral
GAUGAACGCUGGCGGCGUGCCUAAUACAUGCAAGUCGAGCGAACAGACGAGGAGCUUGCUCCUCUGACGUUAGCGGCGGACGGGUGAGUAACACGUGGAUAACCUACCUAUAAGACUGGGAUAACUUCGGGAAACCGGAGCUAAUACCGGAUAAUAUAUUGAACCGCAUGGUUCAAUAGUGAAAGACGGUUUUGCUGUCACUUAUAGAUGGAUCCGCGCCGCAUUAGCUAGUUGGUAAGGUAACGGCUUACCAAGGCAACGAUGCGUAGCCGACCUGAAAGGGUGAUCGGCCACACUGGAACUGAGACACGGUCCAGACUCCUACGGGAGGCAGCAGUAGGGAAUCUUCCGCAAUGGGCGAAAGCCUGACGGAGCAACGCCGCGUGAGUGAUGAAGGUCUUCGGAUCGUAAAACUCUGUUAUUAGGGAAGAACAAAUGUGUAAGUAACUAUGCACGUCUUGACGGUACCUAAUCAGAAAGCCACGGCUAACUACGUG